ACGUCUGCAUAUGCUAGACCUGCC
RNAcentral lists this non-coding RNA (24 nucleotides) under Arabidopsis thaliana (thale cress). The record is from RNAcentral. Lineage: Eukaryota; Viridiplantae; Streptophyta; Magnoliopsida; Brassicales; Brassicaceae.